This 416-nucleotide long non-coding RNA is filed under the name Elaeis guineensis (African oil palm). RNAcentral describes it as "long non-coding RNA (EGUI_LNC038267)". The record is from RNAcentral. Lineage: Eukaryota; Viridiplantae; Streptophyta; Magnoliopsida; Arecales; Arecaceae.
GCCACUCUCAGCAUCUCUCUAUAAUUUAAAAAUUAAUUAAAAUUUUUUUAAAUAACUAAAAAUUAUAUGAUAAUUAAAAAUUAAAAAUUACCUACCAUGUGCUCCAUGUGACGAGCGAACGAUCUCGAACCCCCACAAUACGGCACGGUCUGUCUCAUCCGAUUCACCGCAUUUUGGACACAUCAUCUCUGUAAAAUUAUCAAUCAAAUUAGUAGAUAACAAAUUUAAUUUAAAAAUAAAUAAUUCAAUCAUUAAACUCUAAAAAAAAAAAAUUAGAUGUGUAACUUGAUAUGUCGGAUCCUCAUACUGUCGGCAUAUGGCAGUCCAAUCGUCCAUGAUGAUGCUGUCAUAGGGCUGCUGCCACGCUGCCUCCUCCCUAUGAUCCUGCACCAUCUGAUACCAAUGCUGAUGCAUGU